GGGGCUGUAGCUCAGUGGUAGAGUGCUUGUCUUGCCUACAUGAGGCCCUGGGUUCCAUCCCAGCACCACA
Molecule: transfer RNA, 70 nt
Filed under: Marmota monax (woodchuck)
Lineage: Eukaryota; Metazoa; Chordata; Mammalia; Rodentia; Sciuridae
Description: tRNA.Ala
Rfam family: tRNA
About the family: Transfer RNA (tRNA) molecules are approximately 80 nucleotides in length. Their secondary structure includes four short double-helical elements and three loops (D, anti-codon, and T loops).
Source: RNAcentral